This 251-nucleotide ribosomal RNA is filed under the name uncultured bacterium. Its description in RNAcentral is "partial 16S ribosomal RNA". It matches the Rfam family "Bacterial small subunit ribosomal RNA", at positions 793 to 1050 of the family's 1533-position model. The record is from RNAcentral.
GUCCACGCCGUAAACGAUGUAUACUAGGUGUUGGCCUUUUGGUCAGUGCUGCAGUUAACGCAUUAAGUAUACCACCUGGGGAGUACGUCGGCAACGAUGAAACUCAAAGGAAUUGACGGGGGCCCGCACAAGCGGUGGAGCAUGUGGCUUAAUUCGAUGCAACGCGAAGAACCUUACCUGGGCUAAAUCCACAUCGCAACCUCUGGAAACAGAGGGUUUCUUCGGAACGAUAUGGAAGGUGCUGCAUGGCU